GUUCUCCUUGGCAGGUCAUAAACUAAGAUUGGAAUGAUACAGAGAUUAGCAUGGCCCCUGUGCAAGGAUGACAUGUAAAUUUGUGAAGUAUUUCAUAUUUUU
RNAcentral lists this small nuclear RNA (102 nucleotides) under Panthera tigris altaica (Amur tiger). Lineage: Eukaryota; Metazoa; Chordata; Mammalia; Carnivora; Felidae. The record is from RNAcentral.